GUUCAACAACCGAACACUGCUACUGUUAAGCUACAAUGGUAGCUGGAGAAUGAUGGUAUCUGGCUAGCCGACAUCAAACCGAUAAAGGGAGAGACUUUAUCGGUAAUCGAGAGGGAGGAUAUAUCUGUUAAAAGAGGAUGCUGUGUUUGGAGUGAAAGAGAAGGAUGAGAUUACCGUCACUUUGAAGGAAGAAGAGGAACAGACUGGAGAUCCAAAUAACUACUGGCCACAGCGCUUCGUGGGAGAUGUGAGCGCUCCUCUGUGGUUGACGCUUUGGAGCACACAUUCCCACCUACGACUCAUGUCCAGCCCCGAGUUUUAUGGAUGCCAAAAUGGUAUUAGAGUUCCUAAUGGAAAUGUGUGAUGGCAAGUCUGAUGAUGGAGAGAUAUCAGGACUGAGUGAUGUGUCCUGGGAUGACUCUUCAUCUGACAGUUCAUCUAACAAUGAUCAACCACCUCAGAAACAAGUGAGACGGACCGACCCUCCACUUCAAGACAGGUCAACGACAGCACUUCUAGAAGAACAAAUCUCAAACCCAGGCUCAGAGAGCGGUCCCAGUUCCACAGCAUCAACAAACUGCAAACAAGGCAGGAAGACUUAGAGAACAUCAAAGAGUACAUACAGGGGAGAAGCCUCACCACUGUACCCAAUGUGGGAGGAGUUUCAGCUGGGCAGGAAUUCUUAAGAUGUAUAGAAGAAUUUAUACAGGGG
Molecule: long non-coding RNA, 712 nt
Organism: Esox lucius (northern pike)
Lineage: Eukaryota; Metazoa; Chordata; Actinopteri; Esociformes; Esocidae
Source: Ensembl